UACGUAGGGGGCAAGCGUUGUCCGGAAUCAUUGGGCGUAAAGAGCGUGUAGGCGGCCCGGUAAGUCCGCUGUGAAAGUCCAGGGCUCAACCCUGGGAUGCCGGUGAAUACUGUCGGGCUCGAGUCCGGAAGAGGAGUGUGGAAUUCCUGGUGUAGCGGUGAAAUGCGCAGAUAUCAGGAGGAACACCAAUGGCGAAGGCAGCACUCUGGGACGUGACUGACGCUGAGACGCGAAAGCGUGGGGAGCGAACAGG
Molecule: ribosomal RNA, 253 nt
Filed under: uncultured bacterium
Lineage: Bacteria
Description: partial 16S ribosomal RNA
Rfam family: Bacterial small subunit ribosomal RNA
Source: RNAcentral